GUUUAUAGCCACAACACCCAGAAUGCACCUGGUCUCAUCUGGUCUUAGAAGCUAAGCAUGCUUGCGUCUGGUUAGUACUUGGAUGGGAGAAGUCAAUUCUUUGUAAUUC
RNAcentral lists this ribosomal RNA (109 nucleotides) under Jaculus jaculus (lesser Egyptian jerboa). The record is from RNAcentral. Lineage: Eukaryota; Metazoa; Chordata; Mammalia; Rodentia; Dipodidae.